GCCCUUAGAGUUUGAUCCUGGCUCAGAUUGAACGCUGGCGGCAGGCCUAACACAUGCAAGUCGAGCGGAUGAGUGGAGCUUGCUCCAUGAUUCAGCGGCGGACGGGUGAGUAAUGCCUAGGAAUCUGCCUGGUAGUGGGGGACAACGUUUCGAAAGGAACGCUAAUACCGCAUACGUCCUACGGGAGAAAGCAGGGGACCUUCGGGCCUUGCGCUAUCAGAUGAGCCUAGGUCGGAUUAGCUAGUUGGUGAGGUAAUGGCUCACCAAGGCGACGAUCCGUAACUGGUCUGAGAGGAUGAUCAGUCACACUGGAACUGAGACACGGUCCAGACUCCUACGGGAGGCAGCAGUGGGGAAUAUUGGACAAUGGGCGAAAGCCUGAUCCAGCCAUGCCGCGUGUGUGAAGAAGGUCUUCGGAUUGUAAAGCACUUUAAGUUGGGAGGAAGGGCAGUUACCUAAUACGUAAUUGUUUUGACGUUACCGACAGAAUAAGCACCGGCUAACUCUGUGCCAGCAGCCGCGGUAAUACAGAGGGUGCAAGCGUUAAUCGGAAUUACUGGGCGUAAAGCGCGCGUAGGUGGUUCGUUAAGUUGGAUGUGAAAUCCCCGGGCUCAACCUGGGAACUGCAUUCAAAACUGACGAGCUAGAGUAUGGUAGAGGGUGGUGGAAUUUCCUGUGUAGCGGUGAAAUGCGUAGAUAUAGGAAGGAACACCAGUGGCGAAGGCGACCACCUGGACUGAUACUGACACUGAGGUGCGAAAGCGUGGGGAGCAAACAGGAUUAGAUACCCCGGUAGUCCA
Molecule: ribosomal RNA, 800 nt
Filed under: uncultured bacterium
Lineage: Bacteria
Description: bacterial SSU rRNA
Rfam family: Bacterial small subunit ribosomal RNA
Source: RNAcentral